UAUAUCAAUAACAGGAAUCGCGCACAGAUACACCCCCCAGUGAUUUCAAAAAACUCGACAACAACCACGAUGUUCCGUCCAGCUACGAAUACCACUCAGACCAACAAUCACAACAGACGA
RNAcentral lists this non-coding RNA (120 nucleotides) under Pseudo-nitzschia pungens. The record is from RNAcentral. Lineage: Eukaryota; Bacillariophyta; Bacillariophyceae; Bacillariales; Bacillariaceae.